This 400-nucleotide ribosomal RNA is filed under the name uncultured bacterium. Its description in RNAcentral is "bacterial SSU rRNA". It matches the Rfam family "Bacterial small subunit ribosomal RNA", at positions 355 to 747 of the family's 1533-position model. The record is from RNAcentral.
UCGAGAAUCAUUCGCAAUGGGCGAAAGCCUGACGAUGCGACGCCGUGUGAACGAUGAAGGCCUUCGGGUUGUAAAGUUCUUUCGCUAGGGAACAAGAGAGAGUCACGAACAAUGGCUCGAUUUGAGGGUACUUAGUAAAGAAGCACCGGCUAACUCCGUGCCAGCAGCUGCGGUAAUACGGAGGGUGCAAGCAUUAAUCGGAUUUAUUGGGUGUAAAGGGCAUGUAGGCGGAUAGGUAAGUCAAGCAUGAAAUUUCGAAGCUUAACUUCGAAGCUGUGUUUGAGACUGCUUGUCUUGAGGGUGGACGGAGAAAAUGGAAUUCCAAGUGUAGCGGUGGAAUGCGUAGAUAUUUGGAGGAACACCGGUGGCGAAAGCGGUUUUCUAGUUUAUCCCUGACGCU